Long non-coding RNA from Mirounga angustirostris (Northern elephant seal), 2468 nucleotides. RefSeq lists it as uncharacterized. The record is from RefSeq and is a predicted model, not a curated record. The transcript has 6 exons. NCBI's taxonomy places the organism in Eukaryota, Metazoa, Chordata, Mammalia, Carnivora, Phocidae.
UUGGAAGGGGCACCUGCACCCCAAUGUUUAUAGCAGCAAUGUCCACAAUAGACAAACUACGGAAAGAGCCAAGAUGUCCAUCGACAGAUGAAUGGAUAAAGAAGUCAUGGUGUGUGUGUGUGUGCGUGUGUAUAUAUAUAUAUAUAUAUAUAUAUGUAUAUAUAUAUAUAUAUAUAUGCAAUGGAAUAUUACUCAGCCUUCAAAAAGAAUGAAAUCUUGCCAUUUGCAAUGAUGUGGAUGGAACUAGGGGGGAUUAUGCUAAGCUAAAUAAGUCAGCCAGAGAGAGACAAAUACAUUAUGAUUUCACUCCUAUGUGGAAUUUAAGAAACAAAACAGAUGAACACAGGGGAAGGGAAGGAAAAAUAAAAUAAGAGAAAAACAGAGAGGGAGGCAAACCAUAAGAGAACCUUUUUUUUUUUUUUAAGAUUUUAUUUAUUUAUUUGAGAGAGAGAGCACAAACGGGGUGAGGAGCAGAGGGAGAAGCAGACUCCCUGCUGAGCGGGGAGCCUGAUGUGGGACUCGAUCCUGGGACUCUAGGAUCAUGACCUGAGCCGAAGGCAGAUGCUUGACCGACUGAGCCACCCAGGUGCCCACCAUAAAAGACUCUUACCUAUAGGAAGCAAACUGAGGGUUGCUGGAGGAGCGGUGAGUGGAGAGCAUAUUUGCAGGUUCACAAACUGCUUUUAUGGGCAGGAAACAAAGUGUGUGCUCACAUACAUACAACCACAUCUGCAUUUCAAAGAAAGCCAGGAGCAUCAUGCCUGACAGCCGGGGAGCCAGACCUCCAGAGCUGGAGAGAAGAUGCGCAUAUCUGAGCCCUGGGCAGUGGUGACAGCUGCAGGCGCUGGGAGACGUGCCAACAAGGGCUGCUGUAACGAAUUGCCACAAACCAGGUGGCCUGCAACUACAGAAAUUUAUUCUCACUCUUCUGGAGGCUAGAAGUCUGAAAUCAAGUACUCUACCCAAAACUCACUGCUACCUGGGAGAAGAUCUGUAUGACUUGAAUCACCAAGACUCAUCUUCCUAAGAUAGAAAAAGCUCAACAUAAGUCACAGAUGUAACCAAACAGAAAAAUGAGCAAAAGGGGGGACUGUCGAGAAGUUAAACCCAAGGGAUGCUUGAUAUAGGAGCAACACUCACAACAGGGUGGGGAGGCAGACGACUCAGCACUGAAAACCGGGGAUUGAGUGAGAGUCGACAUGUGAAGAGCAAACCUACCAAGCCCUUUCCCCCACAACCCCAACCACUGCCAGCCAGCCACCCAGUGACGCCUGCCCUACCCAUGUGGACCAGGGGACCAUACCAUCCUCAGAAGAAACUGGAUGACUUCAGAGAAACAGACCCCCCAGACCAAGCCCUGGGUCUUCCUACCACCCUCCAGUGAAGCACAGCUCUACCUAAGCACACAGAGUUUCCAGUUAGACUUUCUUAGCUCCCCUCCUGAAUUAUGAACAGAUAUGUCAGAGUCACCCAUCCCUGGAGAAAACCUCCAACACAAAAGACAGAAACCACAACACAGAAACAGAAUAAAAGCAGACAACGGGUAAUGCAUAGAGUAAAAGAAAACAUCAAAAAAAGUCAAUAAUAUCUUCAGAGAGGUGAGAAAAUGGCUUCCAUGAAACUAGAUCAGAAUUAUAUUUUUUUAAGGCAGAGGGGGAAAAAAACUCUUAGAAAUGAAACGUGUGAUUCUAAAAUAAAAACAGAGAAGAUUUAAUGGAAAGAUUGGGCGCUGAGAAAAAUCAUCCAGAGAGAAGAAUAAAAAGAGAAAGGACAGGGGAGAAAAGAUGUGAAAACUCAGAAGGUUAAUCAGAAGGCCCUCCGCAUGGAAAGCCAGCACAGAGGGAAGGAGCAGGAGGAAAUGAUAUAUAAAAAUAUCACAGGAAAAUGGCCCCAGACCAAAGGACAUCAGCUAAGUGCCUGUCGAGUAGCUAGAACAAUAAAGGAGGAAAGACCCACGGCAAGACAAGUGGUGGUGAGAUUCCAGAACGCCUGGUGUGAAAAAAAGGGCCUAAAGGGCUCCGGCAGGAAGACAACAGGGCAUGGACAGUGGGAAUCAGAGCGGGGAGACCUGUGGGAAGAGCGGAGCCGGGUCAGCGCAGGACUGGGGGAGACCCGGGAAUUCAUUCUGCAGCUGCGUUACCAUUGAGAUGCUUUUUCAGAUGUAUAGGCAGUUGAAUAUUUUAUUUGUUUGAGAGAGAGAGACACAGCGAGAGAGGGAACACAAGCAGGGGGAGUGGGAGAGGUAGAAGCACGCCCCCCGCGGAGCAGGGAGCCCGAUGUGGGACUCGAUCCCAGGACUCCGGGAUCAUGACCUGAGCCGAAGGCAGACGCUUAACGACUGAGCCACCCAGGCGCCCUAUAAUAAUUUUCAUUGAUGUUCCCAGAUUGAUUUUUUAAGGGCUAUAAAAAUGCACAUUUCUAUCACCAAUGUAUGUAACUAUCUCUUUCUCUGCAGGCCCACUAGCAAU